Molecule: ribosomal RNA, 785 nt
Filed under: uncultured bacterium
Lineage: Bacteria
Description: bacterial SSU rRNA
Rfam family: Bacterial small subunit ribosomal RNA
Source: RNAcentral
GCUACACAUGCAGUCGAACGGCAGCACAGCAGUAGCAAUACUGUGGGUGGCGAGUGGCGGACGGGUGAGGAAUACAUGGGAAUCUGCCCUGUCGUGGGGGAUAACGUAGGGAAACUUACGCUAAUACCGCAUACGACCGGAAGGUGAAAGCGGCGGACCGCAAGGCGUCGCGCGACUGGAUGAGCCCAUGUCGGAUUAGCUAGUUGGCGGGGUAAAGGCCCACCAAGGCGACGAUCCGUAGCUGGUCUGAGAGGAUAAUCAGCCACACUGGAACUGAGACACGGUCCAGACUCCUACGGGAGGCAGCAGUGGGGAAUAUUGCGCAAUGGGGGCAACCCUGACGCAGCCAUGCCGCGUGUGUGAAGAAGGCCUUCGGGUUGUAAAGCACUUUAAGUGGGGAGAAAAGGGUGGCGGUUAAUAGCCGUUACCUGUGAUGUUACCCACAGAAUAAGCACCGGCUAACUCCGUGCCAGCAGCCGCGGUAAUACGGAGGGUGCGAGCGUUAAUCGGAAUUACUGGGCGUAAAGCGCGCGUAGGCGGUUUGUUAAGUCAGCUGUGAAAGCCCCGGGCUCAACCUGGGAACUGCAGUUGAUACUGGCCGACUAGAGUACGAGAGAGGGAGGUAGAAUUCCAUGUGUAGCGGUGAAAUGCGUAGAUAUAUGGAGGAAUACCGGUGGCGAAGGCGGCCUCCUGGCUCGAUACUGACGCUGAGGUGCGAAAGCGUGGGGAUCAAACAGGAUUAGAUACCCUGGUAGUCCACGCUGUAAACGAUGUCUACUAGCCGU